Molecule: ribosomal RNA, 38 nt
Filed under: Cladocopium sp. clade C
Lineage: Eukaryota; Dinophyceae; Suessiales; Symbiodiniaceae
Description: partial 28S ribosomal RNA
Source: RNAcentral
CUAGCAUGAAGUCAGACAAGCGAACCCGCUGAAUUUAA